This 222-nucleotide long non-coding RNA is filed under the name Elaeis guineensis (African oil palm). RNAcentral describes it as "long non-coding RNA (EGUI_LNC042195)". Lineage: Eukaryota; Viridiplantae; Streptophyta; Magnoliopsida; Arecales; Arecaceae. The record is from RNAcentral.
UACGAGAAACAUUACUUCAAAACUCUAUAUCAAUUUCUAUUCAAAACAUAUUUUCAUAAGAUUCAUAAAUCACAUAUAAAUCAAUUAAUAAUUUAUUUGAUGUUAAAAAUAUUAUUGUAAAAAUAAAAUAUUUAGAGAGGAUGGAUCAUGACUUAUCUUAUGAGUGAGAUCAAUUGAUUAGUCCAAUUAACUCUAAGAACCUCUCUUAGAGUCCAUUACCAC